GGGAAGGUGGCUCAGUGGUAGAGUGCUUGCCUUGCAUGCAGGAGGGUCUGGGUUCGAUUCCUCACCACCACA
Molecule: non-coding RNA, 72 nt
Organism: Dipodomys ordii (Ord's kangaroo rat)
Lineage: Eukaryota; Metazoa; Chordata; Mammalia; Rodentia; Heteromyidae
Source: Rfam